UCGAGAAUCUUCCGCAAUGGACGAAAGUCUGACGGAGCGACGCCACGUGAUGGAUGAAGUCCCUCUGGGACGUAAACAUCUUUUAUGAGGGAGAAAGUUUAUUGAUAGUACCUCACGAAUAAGGGGUUGCUAAACUCGUGCCAGCAGCAGCGGUAAUACGAGUGCCCCGAGCGUUAUCCGGAAUCAUUGGGCGUAAAGGGUGUGUAGGUGGCAUUGUUAGUCACACGUUAAACCCUGGGGCUUAACCCCAGAUCUGCGUGUGAUACGGCAAAGCUAGAGGAUGGCAGGGAUGUAUGGAACUCAUGGAGUAGGGGUGAAAUCCGUUGAUAUCAUGGGGAACACCGAAAGCGAAGGCAGUACAUUGGGCCACUCCUGACACUGAAACACGAAAGCGUGGGUAGCGAAUGGGAUUAGAUACCCUUGUAGUCCCUGAGCGGGCUGGCAAGGCGCAU
This 452-nucleotide ribosomal RNA is filed under the name uncultured bacterium. Its description in RNAcentral is "bacterial SSU rRNA". It matches the Rfam family "Bacterial small subunit ribosomal RNA", at positions 355 to 825 of the family's 1533-position model. The record is from RNAcentral.